RNAcentral lists this ribosomal RNA (659 nucleotides) under uncultured Actinomycetes bacterium. RNAcentral describes it as "bacterial SSU rRNA". It matches the Rfam family "Bacterial small subunit ribosomal RNA", at positions 229 to 888 of the family's 1533-position model. The record is from RNAcentral. Lineage: Bacteria; Bacillati; Actinomycetota; Actinomycetes.
AUUCGCGGCCUAUCAGCUUGUUGGUGGGGUAAUGGCCUACCAAGGCGACGACGGGUAGCCGGCCUGAGAGGGCGACCGGCCACACUGGGACUGAGACACGGCCCAGACUCCUACGGGAGGCAGCAGUGGGGAAUAUUGCACAAUGGGCGAAAGCCUGAUGCAGCGACGCCGCGUGAGGGAUGACGGCCUUCGGGUUGUAAACCUCUUUCAGCAGGGAAGAAGCCUCAUUUCGGUGGAGCGACGGUACCUGCAGAAGAAGCACCGGCUAACUACGUGCCAGCAGCCGCGGUAAUACGUAGGGUGCAAGCGUUGUCCGGAAUUAUUGGGCGUAAAGAGCUCGUAGGCGGUGUGUCGCGUCUGCUGUGAAAACUCAGGGCUCAACUCUGAGCUUGCAGUGGGUACGGGCACACUUGAGUGCUGUAGGGGAGACUGGAAUUCCUGGUGUAGCGGUGAAAUGCGCAGAUAUCAGGAGGAACACCGGUGGCGAAGGCGGGUCUCUGGGCAGUUACUGACGCUGAGGAGCGAAAGCAUGGGGAGCGAACAGGAUUAGAUACCCUGGUAGUCCAUGCCGUAAACGUUGGGCGCUAGGUGUGGGGUCCAUUCCACGGAUUCCGUGCCGCAGCUAACGCAUUAAGCGCCCCGCCUGGGGAGUACGGAAU